UACGUAGGGGGCGAGCGUUAUCCGGAUUUACUGGGUGUAAAGGGAGCGUAGACGGCUUGGCAAGUCUGAAGUGAAAGCCCGUGGCUCAACCGCGGAACGGCUUUGGAAACUGUGAAGCUGGAGUGCUGGAGAGGUAAGCGGAAUUCCUAGUGUAGCGGUGAAAUGCGUAGAUAUUAGGAGGAACACCAGUGGCGAAGGCGGCUUACUGGACAGUAACUGACGUUGAGGCUCGAAAGCGUGGGGAGCAAACA
RNAcentral lists this ribosomal RNA (251 nucleotides) under uncultured bacterium. RNAcentral describes it as "partial 16S ribosomal RNA". It matches the Rfam family "Bacterial small subunit ribosomal RNA", at positions 524 to 774 of the family's 1533-position model. The record is from RNAcentral.